UGGAUCCACACUUUGAUCCUGGCUCAGGAUGAACGCUGGCGGCGUGCUUAACACAUGCAAGUCGAACGGGGUACCCCCAAAGGAGUUUUCGGACAACUGCGGGGAAUACCUAGUGGCGGACGGGUGAGUAACGCGUGAGUAACCUGCCUUGGAGUGGGGAAUAACAGCUGGAAACAGCUGCUAAUACCGCAUGAUGCAGUUGGGUCGCAUGGCUCUGACUGCCAAAGAUUUAUCGCUCUGAGAUGGACUCGCGUCUGAUUAGCUAGUUGGCGGGGCAACGGCCCACCAAGGCGACGAUCAGUAGCCGGACUGAGAGGUUGGCCGGCCACAUUGGGACUGAGACACGGCCCAGACUCCUACGGGAGGCGGCAGUGGGGAAUAUUGGGCAAUGGGCGGAAGCCUGACCCAGCAACGCCGCGUGAAGGAAGAAGGCUUUCGGGUUGUAAACUUCUUUUCUCAGGGACGAAGCAAGUGACGGUACCUGAGGAAUAAGCCACGGCUAACUACGUGCCAGCAGCCGCGGUAAUACGUAGGUGGCAAGCGUUAUCCGGAUUUACUGGGUGUAAAGGGCGUGUAGGCGGGACUGCAAGUCAGAUGUGAAAACCAUGGGCUCAACCUGUGGCCUGCAUUUGAAACUGUAGUUCUUGAGUACUGGAGAGGCAGACGGAAUUCCUAGUGUAGCGGUGAAAUGCGUAGAUAUUAGGAGGAACACCAGUGGCGAAGGCGGUGUGCUGGACAGCAACUGACGCUGAGGCGCGAAAGCGUGGGGAGCAAACACGAUUAGAUACCCUGGUAGUCCACGCUGUAAACGAUGGAUACUAGGUGUGGGGGGACUGACCCCCUCCGUGCCCCAGUUAACACAAUAAGUAUCCCACCUGGGGAGUACGAUCGCAAGGUUGCAACUCAAAUGAAUUGACGGA
RNAcentral lists this ribosomal RNA (920 nucleotides) under uncultured Bacillota bacterium. Its description in RNAcentral is "bacterial SSU rRNA". It matches the Rfam family "Bacterial small subunit ribosomal RNA", at positions 1 to 917 of the family's 1533-position model. The record is from RNAcentral. Lineage: Bacteria; Bacillati; Bacillota.